CCUACGGGUGGCAGCAGUGAGGAAUAUUGGUCAAGGGGCGCGAGCCUGAACCAGCCAAGUCGCGUGAGGGAAGACGGUCCUAUGGAUUGUAAACCUCUAUUGUCGGGGAGCAAAAGACGCCACGCGGGGCGUUCCGAGAGUACCCGAAGAAAAAGCAUCGGCUAACUCCGUGCCAGCAGCCGCGGUAAUACGGUGGAUGCGAGCGUUAUCCGGAUUUAUUGGGUUUAAAGGGUGCGCAGGCGGAAGAUCAAGUCAGCGGUCACAUUGAGAGUCUCACCCUCUUCGAGCCGUUGAAACUGGGUUUCUUGUGUGAGCGCGAAGUAUGCGGCAUGCGUGGUGUCGCGG
This 345-nucleotide ribosomal RNA is filed under the name uncultured bacterium. Its description in RNAcentral is "partial 16S ribosomal RNA". It matches the Rfam family "Bacterial small subunit ribosomal RNA", at positions 338 to 681 of the family's 1533-position model. The record is from RNAcentral.